AACCACACCGUCGUACAAGUGAACAAAAACGCCAACCCAGACCCACUGCCAAAAAAAGAGGAAGAGAAGAAGGAGGAGGAGGAAGACGACCGUGGGGAAGACGGCCCUAAGCCAAUGCCUCCCUAUAGCUCCAUGUUCAUCCUGUCCACGACCAACCCCCUUCGCCGCCUGUGCCAUUACAUCCUGAACCUGCGCUACUUUGAGAUGUGCAUCCUCAUGGUCAUUGCCAUGAGCAGCAUCGCCCUGGCCGCCGAGGACCCUGUGCAGCCCAACGCACCUCGGAACAACGUGCUGCGAUAUUUUGACUACGUUUUUACAGGCGUCUUUACCUUUGAGAUGGUGAUCAAGAUGAUUGACCUGGGGCUCGUCCUGCAUCAGGGUGCCUACUUCCGUGACCUCUGGAAUAUUCUUGACUUCAUAGUGGUCAGUGGGGCCCUGGUAGCCUUUGCCUUCACUGGCAAUAGCAAAGGAAAAGACAUUAACACGAUUAAAUCCCUCCGAGUCCUCCGGGUGCUACGACCUCUUAAAACCAUCAAGCGGCUGCCAAAGCUCAAGGCUGUGUUUGACUGUGUGGUGAACUCGCUUAAAAACGUCUUCAACAUCCUCAUCGUCUACAUGCUAUUCAUGUUCAUCUUCGCCGUGGUGGCUGUGCAGCUCUUCAAGGGGAAAUUCUUCCACUGCACUGACGAGUCUAAGGAGUUUGAGAAAGAUUGUCGAGGCAAAUACCUCCUGUACGAGAAGAAUGAGGUGAAGGCGCGAGAUCGGGAGUGGAAGAAGUAUGAAUUCCACUACGACAAUGUGCUGUGGGCUCUGCUGACCCUCUUCACCGUGUCCACGGGAGAAGGCUGGCCACAGGUCCUCAAGCACUCAGUGGAUGCCACCUUUGAGAACCAGGGCCCCAGCCCGGGGUACCGCAUGGAGAUGUCCAUUUUCUACGUUGUCUACUUUGUGGUGUUCCCCUUCUUCUUUGUCAAUAUCUUUGUGGCCUUGAUCAUCAUCACCUUCCAGGAGCAAGGGGACAAGAUGAUGGAGGAAUACAGCCUGGAGAAAAAUGAGAGGGCCUGCAUCGAUUUCGCCAUCAGCGCCAAGCCACUGACCCGACACAUGCCGCAGAACAAGCAGAGCUUCCAGUACCGUAUGUGGCAGUUCGUGGUGUCUCCACCUUUCGAGUACACGAUCAUGGCCAUGAUCGCCCUCAACACCAUCGUGCUGAUGAUGAAGUUCUACGGGGCUUCUGUUGCUUAUGAAAAUGCCCUGAGGGUGUUCAACAUCGUCUUCACCUCCCUCUUCUCCCUGGAAUGUGUGCUGAAAGUCAUGGCUUUUGGGAUUCUGAAUUAUUUCCGCGAUGCCUGGAACAUCUUCGACUUUGUGACUGUUCUGGGCAGCAUCACCGAUAUCCUCGUGACUGAGUUUGGGGUAAGUCUCCCGCCAGCUUCUCUCUGGGUGACUCUGGGCUGGACGAGGCAGGCGGCAGGGGGCGGGGGAGCGGUCCCAGAGGCAGUGUGUCCCGACAGCCAUAGCUGCUUGAGCCAGCACUUGGCCAUGACCAGAGAGGGAAAACUGGGGCCCUGGGGACCAGGGCAGCCCCUCAGGAGGGCAUCGUGGGGAGAUGGGGGUGACCAAAGCUUGGCUGUAGGGCCAGCACUGAGGGGUGGGCUUUCCUGCAUCCUGGCCUAGGAAUUAAUAAUGCAAAUGAGUACAUUGAAGGAACUGAGACACUCAAAAGCUCCUAAAGCUGAGCUGGCUCCCAAACACCACCCUAUGUCAGGAGCCCAGAAAGAAUGAGUUUCAAGUCAAUUCUGUUUGAACCAACCCUCUCCUGGUUCGUGGGCAGGAGAGAGCCACAGCCCUCAGGCCAAUGUGGGGACACCACUCCCAGGGCCAUAGAGGGGUCCCCAGGGUGCUUCCCUCCUCUAGCCCCAGGCCUGGGAGACUCUCAACAUGGGAGUCUCUGGACCUCUCUGUGGUGGCCCCGCAGGCCACAUUGUCCUUCUCCUUUUCUGGAAGACUCAGGGCCCCAGAGUUCCUGUCCCAGUCCCUCUCCUUGGUCAUCUGCCAAUGAGCCCAGGCUUGGGGUCCCUUAGGAGAUUUGGGGGAGGGUAUAAGAUCCUUGCAGGGGGAAGCAAUGGUCAAAGGGCGUCAAAGCCAAGGGUCAAGGGUGAUAUCAAUGUUGUCUUAAUAACAAUAAAAAUAACAAUAGCUCACAAGAAUCGCAGCCUUGCUGUGUGCCAGGGAACUGUGCCAAGUGGUUUACGUGGAUUGGCUCAGGGUAGAGGUCUCGGUCUCAGCUUGUAAGAGAAUACCCUCGGAGGGUUCAACUGAAGGCACCCAAAUGCAGAGAUCACUGGUGGAGGGGAAGGGAAGGGUACCCACAAGGGUGGCAAGGUGCCCAGCGACCAGCCACCAUGGGGAGCCGUUACCUGCCCAGGUGCUGAAGUGGGGAGGGAACCUGAGCAGGAGGCCAGGAGAAGCCACCAAGUGGGAACUGUCCUGUCAAUGUGGAGAGACAGAGACCAGGGCCAAAGCAGGCAGAGAGCAACAGGGGAGAAACACUCCAACCUUUCUCCCCACUCAUCCCUUAUCUCCUGCCAGAGCCUCCCAUUGCCCAAAGUAAACUGGAAGCAAGCUGAAUAUGAUGCUCAGAGCAGGCAGAGAAGUCAGGAGAAUAGAUCCGGGUGUGGUCCGGCCUGAGGAAGAGGGUGUUGCCUCAUUUCACAGAUGGGAAAACUGACCUCAGCCAGGCACGGUGGCUCACGCCUGUAAUCCCAGCACUUUGGGAGGCCGAAGCCGGCGGAUCACCUGAGGCCAGGAGUUCAAGACCAGCC
RNAcentral lists this small RNA (2825 nucleotides) under Pongo abelii (Sumatran orangutan). RNAcentral's name for it is "retained intron". Lineage: Eukaryota; Metazoa; Chordata; Mammalia; Primates; Hominidae. The record is from RNAcentral.